GUCAAAAACACCCAGCGGCCGCCGCCAACUUUGUGGCGAGGGCGGCCGGCGGCGCCGCGCGGGGCUGCCGCGCCUCUGCCUCCUCUGCCCCCUUUCGCCUUCCCGUCCUCCGCCCUGCUGCUCCUCGAGCGGCUGCAGUCCCUCCCGCUGCUUCUCCCCUUUCUUAUCGGCUCCAGGCGCUGCUGGAGCGAGCGAGAGAGAAGGCGGCAAUGCGAAAGAAAGCUGGAGGGAGGGCUGAGAGGGGGCAGAGAGACGGCGGAAAAUGGAGCGUAGCCCAGAAGAGGGGCUGGACACUCAGAUGACCUAGCAGGAACUGAGAAAAAUUGAGAGAAGACGGGAGGUAGCCGUCCGCACUCCUGAUUUUUCCUGCAUCUGCUAUGGACUGAACGAACUCACAAUUAGAGCACCAAGCUAUUGCAAAUUAGAGUCCGAAUAGUAACUGCAACUUGAGAAGAAUGGAAUCAUAAUUCAUCUGAAUUGUGAUGGCUCCAGAAUGUGGUAUUUCUCUGCUGUCUUGAUCCUAUUUCUCACAGAAGGAAUUCAUGCUUCACUUGAAUCUUGCCCUGUUUGCAAACCUGGAGAUGUUGUCCAGAGGAUUUUCCCACAGAGCGAAGAGAGUGUUAUGGCAUGUUGGAAGGUUCUUGUGAGCAAUUGUCAGUAGGUGGGUUACAGAAGAAGGU
Molecule: long non-coding RNA, 680 nt
Filed under: Zonotrichia albicollis (white-throated sparrow)
Lineage: Eukaryota; Metazoa; Chordata; Aves; Passeriformes; Passerellidae
Description: lncRNA (ENSZALG00000013526.1)
Source: RNAcentral